UACAGAGGCCUCGAGCGUUAGGCGGAAUCACUGGGCUUAAAGCGUGUGUAGGCGGAUCGUUAAGUACCUUGUGAAAUCCCACGGCUUAACCGUGGAACUGCUUGGUAUACUGGCGAUCUUGUGCCACCUAGGGGCGAGCGGAACAGAUGGUGGAGCGGCGAAAUGCGUAGAUAUCAUCUGGAACGCCAAUGGUGAAAACAGCUCGCUGGGGGUGUGCAGACGCUGAGACACGAAAGCCAGGGGAGCGAACGGG
This 253-nucleotide ribosomal RNA is filed under the name uncultured bacterium. RNAcentral describes it as "partial 16S ribosomal RNA". It matches the Rfam family "Bacterial small subunit ribosomal RNA", at positions 524 to 776 of the family's 1533-position model. The record is from RNAcentral.